CUUAAAACAUUUUUAUUCUUGAGAAUUUCAUACACACAUACAAUGAAAUAUGAGCAUAUAUACACCCAUCAAAUUCAUAUUCCCCCACAUGUCCCCCCCUCUCAAUUUUGUCUUUGUUUUAACCACAUGCAUUUAAAAUUUUCCUUGAGUAGACUACCAUAUCUCUCUUACUGGUUAGUUCAGACUCUUUCUGACUUUGUCCAUUUUUUCCAUUUGUAUAAGCAUCAUAACCUCAACUUCCCUCAAAAAUAUAUUUUACUGUUCAUUUCAUGGCAUAUUUUGCCAAAGUAAGUGAAUAGAGGGUAGAAGCUGAACUCAUGGUGUCAAACUCCACCUUUCUACCAUAGUAGCAGUUAUAUAUAUACUUUCGGGCCUGUCAUACCCAUGUUUACAAUUAUUCAUUGUAUAAUUUACUUCAUCAGGCUUAGAGACAAAGCUUGGCGAGGAGCCACUGGGACUACCUGCUCUUUCAACCAUUUGCUUUCUUCUCCACCACACCUGGCCCUCAGGUUUGGCCAAGGAAUUCCCAAGACACCUGCGGAGCAACUGAGUCCCAAAGGAGUUGGGGAUGUGAGUCUGCUGUAAUGUAGGCAUCUCGCUGAGUUGGAUUGGUUUGAGCUCAGCAGCAUGUUCUCCAGGACCACCCCAACUGCUGGUAAGGAGAAGAGGGGAAGGCAGCUUCACAGCCCGACAGUACAUAGUCUCCUCAGUCACUGGGUCUAUGCCGUGGAGACGCUGGGCUGGUGCUUAAAAUGUAGCAGGCCAGAUGAAAGAAUGUAAUUCCUAAUGGUUAACUUUCAACUUAGACAUGAGAUAAUGUUUCAUUUGGUUAUUUGGAAACAUGUUUGGAUUACUUUGAUAGCUCUAUCAUCUUGUAUGCAUGUAUUUGAGACGGUCACACUAUGUGUCCUUGACUGGCCUGGAACUCACUAUAUAGACCAGGGUUUUCGAGGCUCACUAACAGCCUCUUGUCUCUGUCUCCUUACUACUGGGAUUACAGGUGUAAGGCACUAUUCCUGGCUUGAUCUGCUCUUUAAUCACACAUUUAUUAAAAUCAGCAUCGAAAACAAAUAGUUCUGAUCAUUUUUCUCUCGGAUUAAAAUAAACUGCAAAUAUAUGGACCAGAUUUCAAAGUCUUAUUGCCAAAAUAAGAUAAGAUAUUCACAUUUUUUAUACAGAUAAUCUUUCUUUCUUUCUUUCUUUCUUUCUUUCUUUCUUUCUUUCUCUUUCUCUCUCUCUCUCUCUCUCUCUCUUUCUUUCUUUCUUUCUUUCUUUCUGUUCUUCCUUCCUUCCUUUCUUUUUCUUCCUCUCUCUCUCUUUCUCUCCCUCCCUCUCUCCCUCCUUUCCUUCCUUCUUUCCUUCCUUUCUUCUAAAUAAUUUUAAUGUGCUAGAAAAUUUAAGGUCACAUCCCUGGUUCAUGACAGUGGUUGAGAGAAGAGGCCCUGAGCCAUCCUUUUAGGGAUCACUUCCUAACUCACCCUGUGAAGCAUCUUUGUAGUUUUGAAGCUUGCUUUUACGAUUUGGCUCUCUGACUCCAGCUUCUUUCUCCUUGUUACUACUCUGCCUACUUUUUGGAAAGGGUCUGCGGGGCGCGGAUCAUUAAGGCAAUUGCUGAUUUCAGCCGCCAGAGAGAGCUACGACGCUACUCUUGUUGCCCAGCAACCUCUGGUCCGGAAGUAGUUCUUUGUCCCACCCCAUGGCGGCCGCGGGCGCGAGUACUUCCGGUAGUGCGGGCGCGGGGUCGCGCCGAGCGGGUUGGAGGCUGGCGGCGGCGCAAUGACCACGCUCCGGGCCUUCACCUGCGACGACCUGUUCCGCUUCAACAACAUUAACUUGGAUCCACUUACAGAAACUUAUGGGAUUCCUUUUUACUUACAGUACCUUGCGCACUGGCCAGAGUAUUUCAUCGUCGCUGAAGCACCUGGCGGAGAACUAAUGGGUUAUAUUAUGGGCAAAGCAGAAGGCUCGGUAGCUAGGGAAGAAUGGCAUGGACAUGUCACAGCUCUCUCUGUCGCCCCUGAAUUCCGCCGUCUUGGCUUGGCUGCUAAACUUAUGGAGUUACUAGAAGAAAUUUCAGAAAGGUGGAUUUUUUGUUGAUCUCUUCGUAAGAGUAUCCAAUCAAGUUGCCGUCAACAUGUACAAGCAGUUGGGUUACAGUGUCUACAGGACAGUCAUAGAGUACUACUCAGCCAGCAAUGGGGAGCCUGAUGAGGAUGCCUAUGAUAUGAGGAAAGCACUUUCCAGGGACACUGAGAAGAAAUCCAUCAUCCCAUUACCUCAUCCCGUGAGGCCUGAGGACAUUGAAUAACCAUAGGCAGUGGUUCUUAGGCAGGUGUUCCAGACAGUUUGUGGACAUACUACUUUCAUAGGAUGAUCUUGGAGCUCUAUUAGGAGGAAAGUAAGCAUUUAAGUCUUAAAGACUUCAAAAAAUGCAGGCUAUAAACUUCAAAUCUCAUCCUUCCAAUGAGCAAUAGCAUACAUGUUCGAACUGUUUGCCAUAGUAAAAUUCAAUCAAGGCAGCUAAGUCAGAAGGACUCGUUCCACUAUCAUGGUUGACAGUACAUGCCAAGAAAAGACUCCCUCCAUCCUCCUCCUAAAUCCUGUGCCUGAGAACCACUGCUGCACAUAUAUAAAUAUAUAUAUAUUUUAUUUUGUAUUGAUCUGUUAAUUGAAGCUUUAAAAGCAUAUAUGAAAUGUAUAAAUCUGAGAUGUAUAGUAAAACAUUGUUGACUAUGAAUGUUUUCUGGAAGUUUGUUGUCUUUUAAUCAAAAUUAUGGACGGAUCUUUGUUUAGGAUGUGGUGCCUCUUGUUUUGACUUUUUUAUAUAAAACCUUUUUAAAUGCA
This is an RNA transcript of Mus musculus (house mouse), 2844 nucleotides long. It is a transcript of the gene named N(alpha)-acetyltransferase 20, NatB catalytic subunit, with no coding region annotated. Lineage: Eukaryota; Metazoa; Chordata; Mammalia; Rodentia; Muridae. The transcript is spliced from 6 exons. The record is from RefSeq and is marked validated.